This 481-nucleotide ribosomal RNA is filed under the name uncultured Rubritalea sp. RNAcentral describes it as "bacterial SSU rRNA". It matches the Rfam family "Bacterial small subunit ribosomal RNA", at positions 29 to 505 of the family's 1533-position model. The record is from RNAcentral. Lineage: Bacteria; Pseudomonadati; Verrucomicrobiota; Verrucomicrobiia; Verrucomicrobiales; Rubritaleaceae.
AAUGAACGCUGGCGGCGUGGAUAAGACAUGCAAGUCGAACGAGGAACAAUAAAGCUUGCUUUAGAGUUCCUAGUGGCGGACGGGUUAGUAACACGUGAGUAACUUGCCUCAAAGAGGGGGAUAGUCCUGGGAAACUGGGUUUAAUACCGCAUAUGCUCUAAGGAGUAAAGAGGGCUUCGGCACUCGCUUUGAGAUAGGCUCGCGUCCUAUCAGUUAGUUGGUGAGGUAAUGGCUCACCAAGGCAACGACGGGUAGUUGGUCUGAGAGGAUGAUCAGCAACACUGGAACUGAGACACGGUCCAGACACCUACGGGUGGCAGCAGUCGAGAAUCAUUCACAAUGGGGGAAACCCUGAUGGUGCAACGCCGCGUGGAGGAAGAAGGCCCUAGGGUCGUAAACUCCUGUCAUAAUAGAGUAAGGCAUAGUCGUUAAUAGCUGCUAUGUUUGAUAGUAUAUUAAGAGGAAGGGACGGCUAACUUCG